UGGCCCAUGGUGUAAUGGUAACACUUCGGUUUUUGGUACCGUCAUUCAAGGUUCGAAUCCUUGUGGGCCAACUA
RNAcentral lists this transfer RNA (74 nucleotides) under Maribacter aquivivus. RNAcentral's name for it is "tRNA_Gln_TTG". It matches the Rfam family "tRNA". Rfam says of the family: Transfer RNA (tRNA) molecules are approximately 80 nucleotides in length. Their secondary structure includes four short double-helical elements and three loops (D, anti-codon, and T loops). RNAcentral also lists the same sequence under 1 other name. The record is from RNAcentral. Lineage: Bacteria; Pseudomonadati; Bacteroidota; Flavobacteriia; Flavobacteriales; Flavobacteriaceae.